Molecule: ribosomal RNA, 253 nt
Filed under: uncultured bacterium
Lineage: Bacteria
Description: partial 16S ribosomal RNA
Rfam family: Bacterial small subunit ribosomal RNA
Source: RNAcentral
UACAGAGGGUGCAAGCGUUGCUCGGAUUUACUGGGCGUAAAGCGUACGCGGACGGCAAGGCAGGUCGGAUGUGAAAGCCCCGGGCUCAACCCGGGAAAUGCAUCCGAAACCUCCUUGCUCGAGUAUGAGAGAGGGAAGCGGAAUUCCUGGUGUAGAGGUGAAAUUCGUAGAUAUCAGGAGGAACAUCGGCGGCGAAGGCGGCUUCCUGGCUCAUUACUGACGUUCAGGUACGAAAGCGUGGGUAGCAAACAGG